Molecule: small RNA, 80 nt
Filed under: Flavobacterium enshiense DK69
Lineage: Bacteria; Pseudomonadati; Bacteroidota; Flavobacteriia; Flavobacteriales; Flavobacteriaceae
Description: Flavobacterium sp. DK69 Flavo-1 RNA
Rfam family: Flavo-1 RNA
Source: Rfam by way of RNAcentral
AAUUAGCCCCGAUGGAAGCGACAUCCUUUUUUUGCUUUAAUUAAUGGCAAAAAAAGAUAAAGCGAACAGCGGGAAAAUAG